CACAGCUGCGCCUCUCACCGGCCAGUCCCGGGACUGGGCGCUUAGACCGGGCUUUCUCCAUAAUCCGUGCUCAGGGAGGCGGGCGGGGAGCUGGGGGAGCUCCUGCCUGUGCUGCGCGGGCUGCCCCUCCUCCCCUCAGCUCGGCAACGGCGUCGGGUGCCCAUCUGCCGUGUUGGAGCACUUGGGCAGAGCCUGCAGCUCCGCUCUCCCAGGUCCAGAUGGCCACCCAGUCCUCCCCCACCCUCCCUCUGCCCUCACCCUGCCCCACUCAGAGCACGGGGCCUGGACAAAGCCGGCGGCCUCCCAGACGUCUCCCUGCUUGCUGAUUGCUGCCAGAGGACAGGUAGAGGGUCCCCGGUUGUCACGGAGACCAGGCCUGCCCAUCCUCCCGCAGCCUUCAGGCGGGGAGGGAGGCAGAUGGCUGGGUGGGAGAGUGGAAAACGCACAGCUAUCCGGAUACAGCAGGUGCACACAGGAACACACAUGCACGCGUGCCUCGGGCCUGUGGUGCUGUGGUAGCUUAUUGUGCAAGACGGAGGGUGACCGGUGUGCAGGUGGACGCAGGGCCUGUGCAGGCCAGCUGGUGCUCCCAACUCCCACCCCCUGGUAGUGGAAUCCCAGGGCCAGGAGAGAGCUGUAAGUGGUCUGUCUGUCCCUCUAGCUGCCCCCCCAUGACCCUGUCAGCUGACCGAUCCUCAGGUCGCUGCUCAGAGGUGGGCUUGGCACGAUAGACCCCAGGUGGACUGUGGAGUCCUACCCCUCUCUUGGGACUGGAAGCUCCUGGUCAGGGUUAUAACUCCCCCUUGAGCCGGGAGCCUCUCUCUAGGGUACGUCCUGAGUCCCCCCUUAAAUCAGAGGUUUCCUGAGUACAGGGCCUGUGUCUUCACAUUCUUGCUGGAAUAGGGGUCCCAAAUAGAAUCGCACUCUUCUCAAGCCCACAGGGACCGUGCUCCAGGAUAGACUACAUGUUAAGUCACCAAACAAGUCUCAAUAAGUUUCUAAACUUUAAAUCACCCGAAGUAUCUUCUCUGACCACAGCGGAAUAAAACUAGAAACCACAGAAAGAAAAUGAAAAUUCACAAGUACAUGGAAAUUGAACAUGACACUCUUGAUCAGCCAAUGCAUUGCACGAAGAAGAAAUCGCAGGGAAAUAAGAAAAUGAGAAAAUACUUUUGAGACGAUGAAAGCAAAAACAGCAAACUAAAACUCCCAGGAUUGAAUCAAAGCCAUGCCUAGAGAGAAAUUUAAGCUCUAAAUGCUUAUGUUAUAAAAGAUCUCAAAUCGAUAAACCAACUUUGCACUUUAAGAAACUGGAAAAAGAAGAACAAACAAAACCCAAAGCAAACAGAAGAAAUAAAAUACUAAAGAUUAGAGUGCAGGUGAACAAAAUAAAGAAUAGAAAAACAACAGAAAAAAAAAAUCAAUGAAACCGAGAGGUGAUUCUUUGAAAAUAUCAAUGAAAUUGACACACCUUUAACUGGAUUGACUAUGAAAAAGGGAAACAGAAUUCAACUUUAAGCUCAGAAAUGAAAUUGGGGCCAUUUCUACUGACUUUACAAAAAUAAAAGAUUAUAAGCCAAGAAACUAUUCAUAGAUAAUGGAAGUGAAAUCUACAAAUGCCUAAAAAGACAUACACUACCAAAAUUGACCCAGGAAGAAAUAGAAAAUCUCAACAGACCUAAAGAAGCGAAAUGAUUCAAUAAAGGAUCAAAAAUGUCCCAACAAAGAAAAGCCCAAGAUGAGGUGAAUUCAUUGGUGAUUCCAUUUAAAAAAGAAUCGGUGCCAAUCUUUCUCAAAUUCUUACACAAAAAUAAAUGAAGAAAUGUUCUAAUUCAUUCUACGAGGCCAGGAUUACCCUGAUGUGAAGUCUAAAGACAUCACAAGAAAAGAAAACCGUAGGCCAAUAUUCAUGACAAACAGAUGAUUAGAUUCGAAAUCAUUGCUGUAUUUAUAAUUGAGUGAGUGUGUGUGGUGGCGAGAGAUGCUGCAAAUUAGUACUUUAUAGAACUAUUUAUUAAACAUGUUUUUCAACAUCUGA
This is a long non-coding RNA of Tupaia belangeri chinensis (Chinese tree shrew), 2038 nucleotides long. RefSeq lists it as uncharacterized. The transcript has 2 exons. Lineage: Eukaryota; Metazoa; Chordata; Mammalia; Scandentia; Tupaiidae. The record is from RefSeq and is a predicted model, not a curated record.